RNAcentral lists this long non-coding RNA (1401 nucleotides) under Felis catus (domestic cat). RNAcentral describes it as "lncRNA (ENSFCAG00000051024.1)". Lineage: Eukaryota; Metazoa; Chordata; Mammalia; Carnivora; Felidae. The record is from RNAcentral.
UAUGAUAAUAAUAAUGGAGACCGUUAGUUGAGCCGUUGCACUGCCCCAGAUUCUGUGCCUUUGCCCUUUAAUCAGAUCUGUUACCUUUCGCAAGAUCCCUACGAGGAAGAGCGCCACUCCCUGCUCUGCCCACUGGUAGCUGCAACCUUGGCCUCCUCUGUAAAAUCAGGCUGGUCCGUGUUCCAGCAGUUCUCGCGGGAGGGAGACUCUUCUGGAGGAAACUGGCUGUUCACAGACAUUCUGCCCAACUGCUAACACCCGGCUGCCGAGCCUUGAUCUUCCUACUCUCGCGACCCAAUCGGGGGUGUGCUCCUGUCCCUGAAUUCCUAAAGGACCGAGUAGGGAUGAGGUUGACGCAAGACUCCGAGAGCUCUCUACUCCAUCUGACUCCAGAAUAUUAAACAUAAAAACAAAGCCCUCAUAUUGAUUAUUCCACCAAGAGUGGAAACUGACUAGACUGAAGAGCAAAAGGAAUGGUCUGGAAGUGAGGAAGAGACAAGAGAUACCUCCCUCCUGAAGUUUGGAAGUGAAAGGAGGCGACACUGAAACACGAUAAGAGGAGAGGAAGUCAGUGUUGGUUUUCUUCCCCUUUAACGAUGAAAGAGUUUUGAAUACAUUUGUAAGCAGAGGGGAAGAAGUUCACACAGAAGGAAAAAUGGAAGAUACUGAUACAGAGGGAUGACUAAGGGGGCAGGAUCUCAGAGUUUCUCGGAGGGAUGGGAUCAGAAGUACUGAUGAAGAGAAUGGUCCUGUAUCAGAGGAAGGAGCUGUGGGUCUGGAAAAAGGAGGUAAGAAUGGGAGCUCGAGAUAAACUUAAUAGAAGGCUCCUGAUGGCCUAAUAUUCUCAACAAAGUGAGAGAUGAGGUUGCAAAAUGGCUUUGAAGAUAAAUGGCGUACUUUUGGCAUGGUUGUGGGACUAUGUCAGAUUAAGGACCAUAAAUCUGAAAUGGUACCAAUCUACAAUGGUGUAUAAUUUUCCCUCGUAGCCCUCUAUUGUCUGACUUGCUAGGGUCUCAAGGAAUGGGCGGAAUUGGGAAGGUGAGUUUAUAUCAUCAGUCAUGGGAGUCCAACCUUCUAGGGAGCAGAGGCCAAGAAGGAGCUGGGUGAUGGUAAAAGGAACUGAAGGUCGCAAGAAAAGGCUCGGCGCAGUGGUGGUAGGAUGAAGGGGUGUGAAAGAUGGAAGGAGGGGAGGUCCUGAAGGGAGAUAUUGAAGCUCAAGUUUUAGAAAAAUAGUCAUCCCAGGUUAUGGCAAGAUCCAAAAAGUGUACAGCUAAAUCAGAUCAUUAGAUAGGACAGAAGAUAUUGUCUGUGUGCAUGGUCUGAGAUUAUACUGUAGCUCCAUGGUCUAUAACAGAACUUGGGGAAAGGGGAAGGCAGGGAGCCAGGAUCCAACUGCUGGAG